AGUGAACGCUGGCGGUAGGCCUAACACAUGCAAGUCGAACGGCAGCACAGGAGAGCUUGCUCUCUGGGUGGCGAGUGGCGGACGGGUGAGGAAUACAUCGGAAUCUACUUUUUCGUGGGGGAUAACAUAGGGAAACUUACGCUAAUACCGCAUACGACCUACGGGUGAAAGCAAGGGAUCUUCGGACCUUGCGCGAUUGAAUGAGCCGAUGUCGGAUUAGCUAGUUGGCGGGGUAAAGGCCCACCAAGGCGACGAUCCGUAGCUGGUCUGAGAGGAUGAUCAGCCACACUGGAACUGAGACACGGUCCAGACUCCUACGGGAGGCAGCAGUGGGGAAUAUUGGACAAUGGGCGCAAGCCUGAUCCAGCCAUACCGCGUGGGUGAAGAAGGCCUUCGGGUUGUAAAGCCCUUUUGUUGGGAAAGAAAUCCAGCUGGUUAAUACCCGGUUGGGAUGACGGUACCCAAAGAAUAAGCACCGGCUAACUACGUGCCAGCAGCCGCAGUAA
RNAcentral lists this ribosomal RNA (506 nucleotides) under uncultured bacterium. Its description in RNAcentral is "partial 16S ribosomal RNA". It matches the Rfam family "Bacterial small subunit ribosomal RNA", at positions 29 to 523 of the family's 1533-position model. The record is from RNAcentral.